AGUGGAAUUACUAGGUCAAGGUAACUAUGUUCGUCUUUUUGAAGAACUGCCAAGAUGUUUUCCAAAGUGGCUGCACCAUUUUACAUACCCACCAGCAAU
This 99-nucleotide microRNA precursor is filed under the name Marmota monax (woodchuck). The record is from RNAcentral. Lineage: Eukaryota; Metazoa; Chordata; Mammalia; Rodentia; Sciuridae.